GACAGUAUGAUUGAAAAAAGUAUUGCUUCUACAGAAAUGCCAGCUGCCGUGCCAGUUCCCACAAAAACUACUUGCUGAUGAAGGAGUCAUGUAAAGUGAGACUUGUGCUCGAUGAAGAGAGAUUCAAUGAUUUAGAGAAAUACAUAUGGUCAGUGAGCAAUCAUGACAUUUCCUUUGACCAUUUUCACCUGUGUGCUGCGCUGACAACGGACCACAUUGAAAAGUUUGGAUUCCCUUCCGAUCUUACCCUUUCACCUCAAGAAAUGGUCCAGCUUUAUGAUACCUACCAUGUUUGAAUUCUGGAAAAGUUGUCUCGGAGCUCAGGAUUUUCAGUUGAGCAUGAAGUCCAGUGGUUCUGAGAUAGACCAGAGAGAAAGGACCCUGAUCCUUGACUUCUCCCCUGCCCCACCCGCCACGUGUGCUCUGAGUUCUGACGGUUGCACGCAGAGGGAGCCCUUCCAUGGAUCAGGUCGUGAUGCCCAGACAGCGGGGCUGGAGUUACAGUGAUUGAUGAUAGCUGAGGAGAGCUCUUGACUUCUUUAUCUCUUUUUCAGAAAGCCUUUUUUUUUUCUUUU
This 575-nucleotide long non-coding RNA is filed under the name Capra hircus (goat). Its description in RNAcentral is "lncRNA (ENSCHIG00000007779.1)". The record is from RNAcentral. Lineage: Eukaryota; Metazoa; Chordata; Mammalia; Artiodactyla; Bovidae.